UCCCAUAUGGUCUAGCGGUCAGGAUUCUUGGUUUUCACCCAGGCGGCCUGGGUUCGACUCCCAGUAUGGGAA
RNAcentral lists this transfer RNA (72 nucleotides) under Ameiurus melas (black bullhead). It matches the Rfam family "tRNA". Rfam says of the family: Transfer RNA (tRNA) molecules are approximately 80 nucleotides in length. Their secondary structure includes four short double-helical elements and three loops (D, anti-codon, and T loops). Further hydrogen bonds mediate the characteristic L-shaped molecular structure. tRNAs have two regions of fundamental functional importance: the anti-codon, which is responsible for specific mRNA codon recognition, and the 3' end, to which the tRNAs corresponding amino acid is attached (by aminoacyl-tRNA synthetases). tRNAs cope with the degeneracy of the genetic code in two manners: having more than one tRNA (with a specific anti-codon) for a particular amino acid; and 'wobble' base-pairing, i.e. permitting non-standard base-pairing at the 3rd anti-codon position. Lineage: Eukaryota; Metazoa; Chordata; Actinopteri; Siluriformes; Ictaluridae. The record is from Rfam by way of RNAcentral.